Molecule: long non-coding RNA, 1448 nt
Filed under: Olea europaea subsp. europaea
Lineage: Eukaryota; Viridiplantae; Streptophyta; Magnoliopsida; Lamiales; Oleaceae
Source: RNAcentral
UUCAAAAAUUCCUGAAUUUUCUUAUUCUUUCUUUGGAAAUAUGAGGCUAGUUUCAGCCACAAUGAGAACACUAGGUAGCAAUCUACUAGAAUCUAGAUCAAAUAAACAUAGUAAGGUUUCCAUAAGCGUAACAUAAACAUAUGUAUCACGUCACCCGCAUUUUUACUUUUUUGCUAUAUGCGCAAGUGCAGACACAGAAAUUACAGUACAAAAACAAGUAAAGAAAAAAAAUAUGGCUGGCUAGGUGUUGAAUCCGCGGCUCUACAUUUCCAGGAUGUUGUUAAUUAGGAUGCAGUGCUUCUUGACUGCAUCAACAGUAGAUUCGAAUGCUUUCUUCCCAGCCUCAGCUAUUUUCUUGCCUACCAUAGUCCAAACAUGUUCCUCUUCUUUUGGAAAAACAGUUCCAUUUUUGCCUGAUCUUCUUGCAUUGCUAGUGUUAGAAUCCAUUUAUUUUACCGAAUUUCAACUAUGUUUGCGUUUUUUCUCUAGGAGGAGAUGUGGGGCUAUUUAUGGACCAUGUGAGCUUGGUAUUCUUCUAAACUCUUCUUUUCAUGUUUUGUGUAAGGUUGCUGCAAAUUCAAUGUGAUUUCAAUGGAAAAAACAGCCCUUUGCUCUUGAUAUUAACUGUGUGGAUGAUAUGGUUUGAAUUAAAAUGUAAUAACCUACACUUCCCGUGUUUUUGAGUGUGUUUUCGUCUCUCCUCCCGUGUGAUAGCUUCCUCGACAGUGAGACGGGAACAAUUUGAUUUAAGAAGAUCAAUAAAAAUGCCUAACGUGCACGCUAAAGUAAAAAUCAAUAAAUGAAAAGAAGAGAGUCAAAAUUCAGGACAUCUCAAGAACGUCACUAACGAUUAAGAGCCCAACCUACAUGGCUGGAAGAAAAUGAUAAGAGAGUUUAUCAUAAAUGAUGGGAAACGAGUCCAAUAGAAACUAUCUGAAUUCAACCAUAGAACAACUUAAUUCUAAAAUUCAAUCGAACGGUAGAAGAAAUUGGGAGAGGAGAUUUGGAGGGUUUAUUCUGAAAGAAGAAAGGGGGACGAUGAUUUUAUAAUGAGAAAAAUAAUGAGCUUCUAAACGUGUUUGAGAGAGUGAAAAAAAUAGAGGAAAGAGGAAAGUGAAAAAAUGUGUCCUGGAGGAGAAAGAAAACACUUUUUGGAUAAGAGAGAAGCAAAAGGGAGAAAAGGAACAAAAAAAAAAAAAAAAAAGUUCGACCGACUUAAAGUUGGUCAAAUUUGAAUAUAAUUCACAUCAUCAACAACAUCAUCAGCAUUACUCAAAGUGUAUUACAUCACCUACCAAAGAGAGAAUGUCAUUGUCAGCCUAGCCUAGCCAAGCCGCAAACCAUUUGCCAUGUGUCCAUGCCGUCACCACCAACACCGUGGAUUCCACCAACAAGACAUUAGCCCUCUACAUCCCCCAACCAACAUAAAAAUAAAAAUUAAGUCCCCG